Molecule: small nuclear RNA, 191 nt
Organism: Molossus molossus (Pallas's mastiff bat)
Lineage: Eukaryota; Metazoa; Chordata; Mammalia; Chiroptera; Molossidae
Product: U2 spliceosomal RNA
Exons: 1
Source: RefSeq, a predicted model, not a curated record
AUCAUUUCUCAGCUUUUUGGCUAAGAUCAAGAUUAGUAUCUGUUUUUGUCAGUUUAAUAUCUGAUACAUCUUCUAUCCGAGGACAAUAUAUUAAAUGGAUUUUUGGAGCACAGAGAUGGAAUUGGAGCUUGCUCCAUCCACUCCAUGCAUCAAUCUGAUAUUGCAGUACCUCCAGGAAUGGUACAAGAAAA